This is a non-coding RNA of Vicugna pacos (alpaca), 3144 nucleotides long. The record is from RefSeq and is a predicted model, not a curated record. NCBI's taxonomy places the organism in Eukaryota, Metazoa, Chordata, Mammalia, Artiodactyla, Camelidae.
CGCGCGUUGGCCGCUCGCCGACCGGGCCCCGAGUCGCCGAUUCCUGCCGAGUGUAGAGAGGAGAGAGUGAACAGGGAGCGGGGCUUUUGUCUGUUGGUUGGUCUCUCUGGACUGAAGAGAGGGAGGGUGCAAGGCCAAGACUGUUAAUGAUUCUCAAAAUGGUUUAUUACCCAGAGCUUUCUGUCUGGGUCAGUCAAGAACCAUUUCCAAACAAGGAAAUGGAGGGAAGACUUCCUAAGGGAAGACUUCCUGUCCCAAAGGAAGUGAACCGCAAGAAGAAUGGAGAGACCGAGGCUGCCUCCCUGACUCCACUUGGUGGCAAUGAGCUCCAGUCCCCAGGAAUCAGUUACCUCCACUCUUUUUAAUCACCUCCAUUUGUAUUACAUAUGGUGUAUGGGUAUUGAUGAGGUCAUGGUAUCAUAUAUGGGAUUUUUUUCUGUGUAAAUCAUCAAGUAUAAGAAGAAACUAUGGGACUCUGAGCCUUGCUUUAGAGAAUUUACAGUGGACAAAUAGGUAUCAUCAAACCAGUUUUUAAUCAUUCUGACUCCAGUGAAAACCGCUCAGAAUUUCACACUGUGAAUCCACGUUUACAACCCUUACAGGUGGGCCUUCAGGCCUGGUUCGCUACAACGUCUUCCACAACUCAAACUCCCACCGCUCUCACACGACCGGUCCACUUCUGCCUUUUCACUCACACAGCUCCCGACUGCUUCUUGCAGAGGCUGAGAGUCCCCAUUUUUUUUUUUUUCAUUUAGAUGUAACAAGCCUAGUAGUUUACGUUCAUCAAUUGUCUGUAUAUCUCUAUAUUUUAUCCAUGUACUCUUUUGAUGUAUAGAAGUAGUUUGAAACUCAUUGUUUCCUUGUGGUAAGUGACCGAGAUGCUGCCACAGGACCUGAGACACUGAUGAAUGGUGCUAUUUUGGACUUUCAACAUGCUCCUUGGCGAGGUAGCUCUGAUGGAGUUAUUUUUUAUUUUCAUGUUCUAAGAAGGUGUUGGUACUCUGUUUCCCUGGAUGUUGUUCUCUAGACUGGAUUGACUUGUUUUCCUUGUGUCUUCAGUGUGGCUUUCUUCUUCAGCAUUGUAGGUUGAGUGAGCGCCGCCGCAGAGCGCGGGGGAGCCUCGCGCCUCACGGGCUGGCGCUCGUGGACGCGCAGUCACUGUAGCGGGAGCAAUCACAAAACUGUAAUUUCCUUACCAAAUCUCUUCCUUUCAGUAGCGUCGCCUGCCUAACUUGGAGAACGAAAAGCAAUAAUUUGACAGGCGUUUUUAGGUGUCUCUUUUAGUUCUUUUUGUUUGAAAGAGUAUUUGGGGAAAAAUAGGGCAAACUUUUUUUUUCUUUUCUUUUUUUUGAAUAAAUGCCCUCUGAAAAAACUACCGCCAAACAGGCAUCUCAGUAGGAACAUGAAAAUUAUAUCUUUCCCAAAAAUUAGGUUGGAAAAAAAAAGUCUUUACAAAAUUUAAAAAAAAAAGGCAGAGCACUCUUUUUCGGCAGUUCUGAUAAGCAAGGUGUAGAUCUUACAUUUUUGUCCUUGCUCCCAAUGAAAUGGAGAAACAAAAAUAUAAUCAGACAAUACCAUCUACUCAUGGAAUGUUGUUGUGUUAGCCAGUCUGAAAGCCCACCUUAAUUUUUAUAUAACUGUCUUUCAGCUCUUCCUUUGACAGGGCAGGCUUUGUUCUGACUGUCCCGCUUCUGUUACACGACGCAUGCGCUGCUGCACUUCUUCCGUCUCCUCUCGCUCGCCCAUUGGCCUGAGUUUCCUGUGCAUUUCCCCUCCCUCCUUCGUUAGAUUAGGUGUAUCCGCAGUGUAAAUAGAGCAAGAAAACAGUAUUCUGCAUCUGUGGCAUUUACGUAGAGUUGCAGUUGUGUACUGCUGAAUAUGCAGGCUUUUGUAACAAUGUGAUCUUUACUGAUGCACUCAAGACAAGUACCCAAUGUAUUUUAGCUAUUUUAGUAGUAUUUGUUCAAUAAAUAUGCAAGCUGUAUGGUAACUGGCUUGGCUCGUCAUUGCAAAGGCCUACUUUGGAAUGCUUUCACUGAUUCAUGUUAAUUCAUAUGCUCUCAGAGCCCCAGAAGUAGACCCAAGGGCAAAUAUCAAAAGAGAUUGAAACAGCUCAGCCUUUCGUGCAUUUUCCCUUCUGAGGGUUUUAUGAGAUUAGAGGCUAGGCAGUGUGGCUCAUUAGGAUGGUAUUUGCAGAGCUGCCUCGGAUACAAAGGAGAAUUAAACCAAGACCCUUUUAUUUCUAAACUUUUAUUUUUCCCUUUCAGCGCAGUCCCGCACACCGCAAAACAUUCUUUCUUACCCUUUGCCUUAAAGACCUCCUCUUUGGUCUUAUUUACCCAUGCCAGAAGAUACCUGUCCUUGAUGCUUCAUGGAAUAUUUGCACUUACACACUUCUGUGCAAGUUACACAGAAGUGUGUAAGUGUAUAAGACAAAAGGCUUACACUUGUAAAUGGAUAAAAAUUUGAGAUAAGGAUUUAAGUCAUGAAUUCAUAUGUACCCAGCUACCUGGAAUCUAGCAGAUGAGAAGAUAAGCAUCACCAGAACCUUCUAGAGGGCUCUUGUGAUGCUGAAACCCAACAAUUCCGGGCAUUUAUGCUUUUCCUGUGUAUGAGAAAUGCCUGCGGCUCCCUCCUCAUACAUAAGGAGAACGAAACUUCAGCUGGGUUUACACACCAAUUGUUAAAUUGACAGGCUGGGUUCAGAUACUUGGGUUUCACCUGAACAGAGGCUAAGGAACAGAUCUCUGAGUUAGAGCCAGAGAGAGAUAGGAAGGGAGCAGAAGGUAGCUUGGCCCAGCUUGGGAGUUCAGACUUUGCAGCAGGAGGGAUCAGAUGCUCUCUGAGAAAUCUUUUGGUCUUGACACUUGUGCGCCAGGAGGGACUUUUAAAUUGGGGAGUAGCUUUAGAAAUAAAUGCACAGCUCAGAUUUUGGUUAAGUUUCUUAUUUUCCCUCAAUUUUUAAUCUUAUUAAGAGAAAGGAGCCUUAGGGCAGAACUGCCUACCAGAAAGAAAAAAUCUCAGCUGCCUACCAGAUAAGCAGAAUUUGUUCAACCUGAAAGAAAAUUUUAAAACAGAGCUACCACUACCUCUUUUGGGCAUCCCACCCAGAGGUUCAUACUUCUGAAGAGGUGAAAAUAUCAC